GCGCUCGGUGGCGGCCUCGAUCACGAGGUCGCUCCUGGCGAUGUCGGUGAGGGUCUGGGUGGUGCGGAUCCGCCCGAGCGCC
RNAcentral lists this transfer RNA (82 nucleotides) under Cereibacter sphaeroides. RNAcentral's name for it is "tRNA-Arg". Lineage: Bacteria; Pseudomonadati; Pseudomonadota; Alphaproteobacteria; Rhodobacterales; Paracoccaceae. The record is from RNAcentral.